This 440-nucleotide ribosomal RNA is filed under the name uncultured bacterium. Its description in RNAcentral is "bacterial SSU rRNA". It matches the Rfam family "Bacterial small subunit ribosomal RNA", at positions 958 to 1398 of the family's 1533-position model. The record is from RNAcentral.
AACGCGAAGAACCUUACCUACCCUUGACAUCCUGCGAAGCUAGCUGAGAGGCUGGUGUGCCGAAAGGAACGCAGAGACAGGUGCUGCAUGGCUGUCGUCAGCUCGUGUUGUGAGAUGUUGGGUUAAGUCCCGUAACGAGCGCAACCCUUGUCCUUAGUUGCCAGCAUUUAGUUGGGGACUCUAAGGAGACUGCCGGUGAUGAACCGGAGGAAGGUGGGGACGACGUCAAGUCAUCAUGGCCUUUAUGGGUAGGGCUACACGCGUGCUACAAUGGGGCGUACAGAGGGUCGCAAACCCGUGAGGGGAAGCUAAUCUCACAAAGCGUCUCGUAGUCCGGAUUGGAGUCUGCAACUCGACUCCAUGAAGUUGGAAUCGCUAGUAAUCGCGAAUCAGCAUUGUCGCGGUGAAUACGUUCCCGGGCCUUGUACACACCGUAGUAC